GGGGCUGUAGCUCAGUGGUAGAGCACUUACCUAGCAUGCAUGAGGCACUGAGUUUGAUCCUCAGCACCA
RNAcentral lists this transfer RNA (69 nucleotides) under Ictidomys tridecemlineatus (thirteen-lined ground squirrel). RNAcentral's name for it is "Spermophilus tridecemlineatus (thirteen-lined ground squirrel) tRNA". It matches the Rfam family "tRNA". Rfam says of the family: Transfer RNA (tRNA) molecules are approximately 80 nucleotides in length. Their secondary structure includes four short double-helical elements and three loops (D, anti-codon, and T loops). Further hydrogen bonds mediate the characteristic L-shaped molecular structure. tRNAs have two regions of fundamental functional importance: the anti-codon, which is responsible for specific mRNA codon recognition, and the 3' end, to which the tRNAs corresponding amino acid is attached (by aminoacyl-tRNA synthetases). tRNAs cope with the degeneracy of the genetic code in two manners: having more than one tRNA (with a specific anti-codon) for a particular amino acid; and 'wobble' base-pairing, i.e. permitting non-standard base-pairing at the 3rd anti-codon position. The record is from Rfam by way of RNAcentral. Lineage: Eukaryota; Metazoa; Chordata; Mammalia; Rodentia; Sciuridae.